This 407-nucleotide ribosomal RNA is filed under the name uncultured bacterium. RNAcentral's name for it is "partial 16S ribosomal RNA". It matches the Rfam family "Bacterial small subunit ribosomal RNA", at positions 30 to 526 of the family's 1533-position model. The record is from RNAcentral.
AUUGAACGCUGGCGGCAGGCCUAACACAUGCAAGUCGAGCGGCGCGGCGGAGGGGUGAGUAAUGCCUAGGAAUCUGCCUGGUAGCGGGGGAUAACGAUCGGAAACGGGCGCUAAUGCCGCAUCCUCGCAGAUUAGCCUAGGUCGGAUUAGCUAGUUGGUGGGGUAAAGGCCUAGCAAGGCGACGAUCCGUAACUGGUCUGAGAGGAUGAUCAGUCACACUGGAACUGAGACACGGUCCAGACUCCUACGGGAGGCAGCAGUGGGGAAUAUUGGACAAUGGGCGAAAGCCUGAUCCAGCCAUGCCGCGUGUGUGAAGAAGGUCUUCGGAUUGUAAAGCACUUUAAGUUGGGAGGCGUUACCAACAGAAUAAGCACCGGCUAACUUCGUGCCAGCAGCCGCGGUAAUUC